This 232-nucleotide ribosomal RNA is filed under the name uncultured bacterium. RNAcentral describes it as "partial 16S ribosomal RNA". It matches the Rfam family "Bacterial small subunit ribosomal RNA", at positions 99 to 334 of the family's 1533-position model. The record is from RNAcentral.
CGGACGGGUGAGUAAUGUCUGGGAAACUGCCCGAUGGAGGGGGAUAACUACUGGAAACGGUAGCUAAUACCGCAUAACGUCGCAAGACCAAAGAGGGGGACCUUCGGGCCUCUUGCCAUCGGAUGUGCCCAGAUGGGAUUAGCUAGUAGGUGGGGUAACGGCUCACCCAGGCGACGAUCCCUAGCUGGUCUGAGAGGAUGACCAGCCACACUGGAACUGAGACACGGUCCAG